UACAGAGGUCUCAAGCGUUGUCCGGAAUUAUUGGGCGUAAAGAGCUCGUAGGCGGCUUGUCGCGUCGGCUGUGAAAACCUGGGGCUCAACCCCGGGCCUGCAGCCGAUACGGGCAAGCUAGAGUUCGGUAGGGGAGACUGGAAUUCCUGGUGUAGCGGUGAAAUGCGCAGAUAUCAGGAGGAACACCGGUGGCGAAGGCGGGUCUCUGGGCCGAAACUGACGCUGAGGAGCGAAAGCGUGGGGAGCGAACAGG
RNAcentral lists this ribosomal RNA (253 nucleotides) under uncultured bacterium. Its description in RNAcentral is "partial 16S ribosomal RNA". It matches the Rfam family "Bacterial small subunit ribosomal RNA", at positions 524 to 776 of the family's 1533-position model. The record is from RNAcentral.